UACGAAGGGGGCUAGCGUUGUUCGGAUUUACUGGGCGUAAAGCGCGUGUAGGCGGGUCGUUAAGUUGGGGGUGAAAUCCCGAGGCUCAACCUCGGAACUGCCUUCAAAACUGGCGACCUGGAGCAAGAUAGAGGCGAGUGGAAUUCCGAGUGUAGAGGUGAAAUUCGUAGAUAUUCGGAGGAACACCAGUGGCGAAGGCGACUCGCUGGAUCUUUGCUGACGCUGAGACGAGAAAGCGUGGGGAGCAAACAGG
Molecule: ribosomal RNA, 253 nt
Filed under: uncultured bacterium
Lineage: Bacteria
Description: partial 16S ribosomal RNA
Rfam family: Bacterial small subunit ribosomal RNA
Source: RNAcentral